This 24-nucleotide non-coding RNA is filed under the name Cricetulus griseus (Chinese hamster). RNAcentral also lists the same sequence under 1 other name. Lineage: Eukaryota; Metazoa; Chordata; Mammalia; Rodentia; Cricetidae. The record is from RNAcentral.
UUGGGAGGCAGAGGCAGGUGGAUA